AUAGGUUCUAAAAUCAGGUAGUGUGAGGCCUCGGACUUUGUUCUUCUUCUUGAGUAAUGCUUUACUUAUUCGGGACCUCUUCCCUGUCCAUAUGAAGUUGGUGAUUUGUUUCUUCAUCUCAUUAAAAAAUGCUGGUGGUUGGCCUUGCCUCCAUUUCCACUGCUGUCCCCAGUUCCUGGCAGCUGCAUGCAAGGAGGCCCACAGGUGGGGACCAAAGUAGGGUAAGGCAUGAGCCAUCUGAGUGCAACCUUGGCUCUGACA
Small nucleolar RNA from Trichechus manatus latirostris (Florida manatee), 261 nucleotides. The record is from RefSeq and is a predicted model, not a curated record. Lineage: Eukaryota; Metazoa; Chordata; Mammalia; Sirenia; Trichechidae.